Molecule: ribosomal RNA, 485 nt
Filed under: uncultured bacterium
Lineage: Bacteria
Description: partial 16S ribosomal RNA
Rfam family: Bacterial small subunit ribosomal RNA
Source: RNAcentral
GACGAACGCUGGCGGCGUGCUUAACACAUGCAAGUCGAACGCUGAAGGCCUGGCUUUUGUUGGGUUGGAUGAGUGGCGAACGGGUGAGUAACACGUGAGUAACCUGCCCUCUUCUUUGGGAUAACGCCCGGAAACGGGUGCUAAUACUGGAUAUUCACUGAUCUUCGCAUGGGGGUUGGUGGAAAGGUUUGUUCUGGUGGGGGAUGGGCUCGCGGCCUAUCAGCUUGUUGGUGGGGUGAUGGCCUACCAAGGCUUUGACGGGUAGCCGGCCUGAGAGGGUGACCGGUCACAUUGGGACUGAGAUACGGCCCAGACUCCUACGGGAGGCAGCAGUGGGGAAUAUUGCACAAUGGGCGAAAGCCUGAUGCAGCGACGCCGCGUGAGGGAUGGAGGCCUUCGGGUUGUAACCUCUUUCGCUCAUGGUCAAGCCGCAACUGUGGGUUGUGGUGAGGGUAGUGGGUAAAGAAGCGCCGGCUAACUACGUG